UCCAUUGCACUUGGGUUUGUUUUGUCUGUAAUGUCUGCAUAUGGUCUCCAUGUUCUAGCUGCUUAAGGAGAUGGCGGUAGAGUCUCCUCCAGAUGAGGAGGAGGUGACAGCAGUGCAGGAGAUGAGAGAGGAGCAGGACAGAGGAGACGAUGUAGAAAGCCCACCAGCGCGCUCACCGAGAGAUCUUCCUCCUCGUCCUGUGAUAAGGCCAGGAUCCAGCCAAUCAGAGACCACCAUGAGACUGCGCAUGACUGAGAAGCUGAGAGCAGCAAAGUCUAAAGCCGCUAGUCUUCUAGAGCAGGACAGCAUCAUUGAGCCUGCCAGCCGUCUACAGAGUCUGCGAGACAGAGACACCCUCACUAGAUUCGACAGAGACACGGGUCCAGAUCUACAGGCCGAUGAAGACUCAUCCUUUGCUGCCAGACUGAAGUUUCGUGAUGCAUCUAGACGUGCAGCCAAAGACAAAAGGGUAAGAAUCUGCUGUUUCUCCUGCGAGGGUGAGAAGCACCAACAAAAAGU
RNAcentral lists this long non-coding RNA (519 nucleotides) under Sinocyclocheilus anshuiensis. RNAcentral describes it as "lncRNA (ENSSANG00000004731.1)". The record is from RNAcentral. Lineage: Eukaryota; Metazoa; Chordata; Actinopteri; Cypriniformes; Cyprinidae.